Dromiciops gliroides (monito del monte) is the source of this 103-nucleotide small nuclear RNA. NCBI's taxonomy places the organism in Eukaryota, Metazoa, Chordata, Mammalia, Microbiotheria, Microbiotheriidae. The record is from RefSeq and is a predicted model, not a curated record.
GUGCUUACUUCGAAGCACAUAUACUAAAAUUGGAAUGAUAUAGAGAUUAGCAUGGCCCCUGCACAAGGAUGACAUGCAUAUUUGUGAAGAAAGUGACAAAAAA